CCUACGGGAGGCAGCAGUGAGGAAUAUUGGUCAAUGGGCGCGAGCCUGAACCAGCCAAGUAGCGUGAAGGAUGAAUGCCCUACGGGUUGUAAACUUCUUUUAUAAAGGAAUAAAGUGAGGCACGUGUGCCUUUUUGGAUGUACUUUAUGAAUAAGGAUCGGCUAACUCCGUGCCAGCAGCCGCGGUAAUACGGAGGAUCCGAGCGUUAUCCGGAUUUAUUGGGUUUCAAGGGAGCGUAGAUGGGUUGUUAAGUCAGUUGUGAAAGUUUGCGGCUCAACCGUAAAAUUGCAAUUGCUACUGGCAGUCUUGCUUACAGUUGAGGUAGGCGGCAUUCGUGGUGUCGCGG
RNAcentral lists this ribosomal RNA (346 nucleotides) under uncultured bacterium. Its description in RNAcentral is "partial 16S ribosomal RNA". It matches the Rfam family "Bacterial small subunit ribosomal RNA", at positions 338 to 681 of the family's 1533-position model. The record is from RNAcentral.